This 450-nucleotide ribosomal RNA is filed under the name uncultured Glomeromycotina. RNAcentral describes it as "SSU rRNA". It matches the Rfam family "Eukaryotic small subunit ribosomal RNA", at positions 569 to 1024 of the family's 1831-position model. Lineage: Eukaryota; Fungi; Glomeromycota. The record is from RNAcentral.
AGCAGCCGCGGUAAUUCCAGCUCCAAUAGCGUAUAUUAAAGUUGUUGCAGUUAAAAAGCUCGUAGUUGAAUUUCGAGAUCGGCUUACUGGUCGUGCUAUUGUACGUACUGGUAUAAUCGGUUUCUCCUUUCUGACGAACUAUAAUGCCAUUAAUUUGGUGUUUUAGGGAAUCAGGACUGUUACUUUGAAAAAAUUAGAGUGUUUAAAGCAGGCUCACGCUUGAAUACAUUAGCAUGGAAUAACGGAAUAGGACGUUUGAUUCUAUUUUGUUGGUUUCUAGGAUCGACGUAAUGAUUAAUAGGGAUAGUUGGGGGCAUUAGUAUUCAAUUGUCAGAGGUGAAAUUCUUGGAUUUAUUGAAGACUAACUACUGCGAAAGCAUUUGCCAAGGAUGUUUUCAUUAAUCAAGAACGAAAGUUAGGGGAUCGAAGACGAUCAGAUACCGUCGUAGU